CGUGUGCUGUUAGAAGUCAUCAAUAAUUUAAUGUGUGAAGUCUGUACGAGUUUAGUGCACGAGACAUAGUUUAGUUGACCGCGGACUCAUGGGGGUGUUAAUUUUUCCAUCUAUCUUACUGAAAAGGGGGUCAGUAUGACAAUCAGAUCCCGUAGUUUUGCAAGUUUUGUUUUUAUAAAUCGCAUUUCAUAAAUCACUUUUUAUAUAAUGAUUCGCAUUGGGUUUUUUGUGUUUUGAGUUGUUUGUCUUUUUUGUCUUUUGUGCUGUUUUUGGUUUUUUGUGUGCUUUUGUUUGUAUAUAUGUAUACCGAUAUGUCUUCGACGUUAUACUCGACGAAGAGCCCAUAAAAUAACUUAUUUUCGUGUAAAUUAAUAGAAAACCCGAUUAAAAUGAAAUUAAGAUUUAGUCACCUCACUUAAUUUGUAUAAACUUGAUGAUAUGUUUUCAUUCAGAAUAUGCAUGAGAGAAA
RNAcentral lists this long non-coding RNA (469 nucleotides) under Mytilus galloprovincialis (Mediterranean mussel). Lineage: Eukaryota; Metazoa; Mollusca; Bivalvia; Mytilida; Mytilidae. The record is from RNAcentral.